GAAAGCAUUUCUCCAAGCCCCCUCCCCCACCCAAGAAAGGAUUUCUGUGUUAACAAAGGCUGUGUAUCACCCAUGUCCUCGUCCCUGUUAAACAGCAGGCAACAGCCCUGUCCUUGAAAAGGGAUGGCAGCUUUUGACUGAGCUCUGGCCAGCAACUUCUGUGGCGGGUACAGAGCCAGGCCUGCUGCCCGGGGCAGCCCCGAGUCCAGCCAUGUGUGCUCAGAUUCAUCCUGGGAGUGUCCGGGCUGUCAGUGCUCAGCGGAGCCUGGGUUUGGUGACCGAAGGGGAAGGCGGGGAUUUGUGGCACCAGAGGCCUUGUGUGGCCACGGGGGGCCAGGAGAGACAUUACAGAAGGAGGAAGUGUGUCCUUGGCCCCUGGAAUCCGGAGCAGCCCAGAGGGAGCCACACAGCCAAGCUGUAGUGUGUCUCUCUACCUUGGGGUAGGAAUAGGAAUAGGAUUGACUUCCCAGCCCUGGGCCUCAACCCAGCCAAGAAGGCAUUGUUGACUCCCGUGAGAUCACAGAGGUGGUUGCACAGGCCCCGCCCACUUCUCCUGCAGCUUGGGUUCCCCUCCUGGCCCCCAGGGGACACCCCCCAGCCCCCUCUUCCAGGGAGCUGCUGGUCAAGGGUCAGGGGUCCAUGGGAGCUGAGGGCUGGCAUCUCCCACGCUCCCUCAGCAACCAUCAGGAUAUGAGGGUCACAGGCCUCCCUUUUCCUCCUGUUCCUGCUUGUCCGGAAGGCCCCCACCCCGGCCGCGCUGGUCCCCAGGCCCUGACUAUCUCAAGGAGCCAAUCUGAAAAGAUGCAGGCUGGUGGUCACUGCCCCACAGAGCGGAGGCCGGGUGUGUGGGGGUGAGUGGAGGGGCUGCUGGUUGCCAAGGGCACACAGUCAGGCAUGAGGCCCCGGUGGAAGUGGGCGUACUAAAGGGCCCUGGCUUGGCACUUCCUCACUUCUGCUCUCUGGACUCUGUCUAGACCAGACCAUGAGCCUCCUCAAAUUAGCUGUAGACGUGCGAAGGCCAUUUUUCUGGGGGAGGGGCCGAAGCCUUCAUCUGUCAGGGGGCCUCUGUUCUAAAACUCUCCAACCCAGCCCUGCCUGGUUCAAAGCCUCCGCUAGGCUCGCACCAGCUCGGACCGGGCCUUGGGUUGGUGGCAGGCGCCUUCGGCUGGCCCUCUACUCUCCCUCCCUCUCUCUGGCCCUGCCCAGCCCCUGCCCAUCUGUGAACCUCCCAGGAGCCUCAGCACCCCCUGAGCCCCCUGGGAGGCCCCGGGAGGAACAGCCGGCCGUGAGAACUCCCAGAAGCCCUUCUGAGGGAGACCUCUCCAGAGACCCCCAGGAAGAGAUCCCGGCAAACCCAGGUGCAGGAGCCCCUCAUGGAGCCCCCCAUGGAGCCCCCAGGCAAGCAGCCCCCGCAAGAGAGCCCACCCGAGGACCCAGCCCCUAAGACCGCCCCCAGCGCACACAUUCUCUACGUGGACCACCUGAACCCCCAGUUCUCGGUGCCCGUGCUCGCCUGCCUGCUUCGGGACACGCUGGAGCGGCUGGAGCUGCCGGUGGCACGCGAGCACAUCGAGGUGGUGAGGCGCCCACGGAAGGCCUACGCGCUGGUGCAGGUGACCGCCCAUGAGGCCACUCUGGCCGCCCUCCCCUGGCGCCUGCAAGCGGCCCUGGAGGAGCACCAGAUCCCCAAGGAGCUGGUGGCCCGCGGGAAGGAGCUGGUGCUGGGUGAGGGCCCAGGGCCCUCGAGCGGCAAGGAAGAGGAGGACAGCGGCCCAAGUCCCCGCUCCUACCCCAGCCCCGCCCACAGCACGCCAGCGCGGGCCCGGCAGGGGUCCCGGGGCCAGCCCCGCGGCACGCGCUCCGACAGCGCCAUCGUGCGCCAGGAGAUCGAGGGUCAGGAGCGCCUCUUCCAGGGCGCCUUCCUGGGCAAUGAGACGCGCAGCGUGGAGUUCAAGCGCGGGGGCGGCGAGUACCUGAGCCUGGCCUUCAAGCACCACCUGCGGCGCUACGUGUGCGCUUUCCUCAACAGCGAGGGCGGCAGCCUGUUCGUGGGCGUCGAGGACAGCGGCCUGGUGCAGGGCGUCCGCUGCGGCCACCGCGACGAGGACCGCGUGCGCCUGCUAGUGGACUCCAUCCUGCAGGGCUUCCAGCCCCAGGUCUUCCCCGACGCCUACACGCUCUCCUUCAUCCCGGUGGUCAGCGCCUCGGCCGGCAGCACGCCCCUCAAGGUGAUCCGCCUGAGCGUGCACGCCCCCAAGGCCCAGGCGGAGCCGCAGCUCUAUGAGACGGACCAGGGGGAGGUGUUCCUGCGGCGGGACGGGAGCAUCCAGGGCCCGCUGUCCGGCCACGCCAUCCAGGAGUGGUGCAGGCAGAAGUGGGCGGCCGAGCUGAGCAAGCUGGAGCAGAGACUGAAGGCGCUGACGGCGGAGAAGGAGCAGCUCCAGCAGCAGCUGCAGCAGCGCGCGCCCGUCUCCUGCACCUGCUGCGUCCUGUGAGCACCCGUUCUUUGUCUAGGAGACAGUGAAAUGGACAGUGAAAUGGACAUCAUCACCCCGACACCAUGUCUCCCCAGCACCCACCAGCACCUGCACAGGGUGUGACCUCCAGCCCAAGCACCCUGCAGCCACUGGGAGCGCUGCUGUCGCCGUCCUCAGUGCCCUCAGUUUGGGGAAUGGCUCAUACAGAAACGAUUCAGACUGUGUGACCAGCCGGGAACAGUGGUUAGAACCCACCCCAUUAGCCGCAUUCCAGGUAGCAAGAUAGGCAUGAAGAGGCCUGCAAGGGACCCAUUUUACUUUGGUCCACGAGAAGCGGAGACAAAGGGGGCUCACUUGUUCUUGCUGGGUCAGGGCGGGCACCCCAGCUUCUGGGCCCCAGUGCGGAUGGCGGCCUUGAGCCACGAGCACAGGCACACAGGGAAGCCUGCUUCUUCUCCGGAUCCCCCUGACAAGGAAGCUGGGCUAAAUGCUGAGAAAGAAACAUUUUUCUCCCCUCCCUGGUUUCUCAAAUGUCCAUGAGGAAAGGCAGUUGACCAUGGACAGACAACCCAGCCUGAGCCUCCACCUUGGACUGAACGGAGCUGGCUCACGAGGAGGCGAGCUUGGCAGCUGGAGGGUGGGUGGGUGGGUGUCCACGGCAGCAAUGGGCCCCUCACUCUGGGGAGAAAGCCCUCGGGACGCUGCCGUGGACCCCUCGACACACAAGGCCGGGGGAUGGGAGGACCAGCGGUGGAGAAAGUGGUCCUGCUGGCUGACAGCGGUUGGUCUGCCACUCCUGGGUCACAUGUAUGAGGGGCCACAUCCAUGGCCAGCAGAGGGAGGGACCCCCGUGAAUAACACGUGCCGCCCCCCCACCUCCCAAAACCAAGCAGCCCCCAUGCUUCUUUGCAUCUGUAUAUGUUGGGAAUCUGAAUUUGAAGCCUCCAGGGGGAAAUUCUGGUUUCCCACAAAAAAGAAAGGCUCCUCUCAGGUCCUGUGCAGACGAUCAGCUCAUGCACUUAAGGCCGUCCCACCAAGGACAGCCGGGUGCUGACCACUGAGGUGACGCAGGCAC
Molecule: RNA transcript, 3552 nt
Organism: Mustela erminea (ermine)
Lineage: Eukaryota; Metazoa; Chordata; Mammalia; Carnivora; Mustelidae
Gene: SLFNL1
Gene name: schlafen like 1
Exons: 7
Source: RefSeq, a predicted model, not a curated record